UACGUAGGGGGCGAGCGUUGUCCGGAGUUACUGGGCGUAAAGGGCAUGCAGGCGGUUGGACGCGUUUCGGGUGACAGCGGGUGGCUUAACUACCCGAGUGGUCGAAAGACGGUUUGACUUGAGGACGCGAGAGGGACACGGAAUUCCGGGUGGAGUGGUGAAAUGCGUAGAGAUCCGGAGGAACACCGAAGGCGAAGGCAGUGUCCUGGCGCGUAACUGACGCUGAGGUGCGAAAGCCAGGGGAGCGAACGGG
RNAcentral lists this ribosomal RNA (253 nucleotides) under uncultured bacterium. RNAcentral describes it as "partial 16S ribosomal RNA". It matches the Rfam family "Bacterial small subunit ribosomal RNA", at positions 524 to 776 of the family's 1533-position model. The record is from RNAcentral.